AUGGUAUGCAGGCACAGAAUGCAGAUAUGAUGCAGAUGAUGCGUCAAAUGCAACAGCAACAGGAUGCUCGGAAUGCCAUAACCGACCAGCGGUUUACUGAGUUGUUUAGCAGAUUCGACAGCUUAGACAUACGUCAAAGAUCACCAGGACCAAGAACCAGAGGUGGAAGGCAGCCUUAGUUGUAUUUUUCUUUUCAUCUCCAUUUUGUAUUUCUUUCCCUUAAAACAUCGAGGACAAUGUUUAGUUCAAGUAUGGGGGGGAAACAUUAUUCUUUCCAUUCUCAUCUUUGUUUCAAGUAUGUACUCUCCCUUUUCAUUGUUAUUUCCCUAUAAAAAAAAAAAAAAAAAAAAAAAAAAUAUUUUUUUAAGUUAAGUCCUGAAUGUGAAAAAUUUUCUAUUAUCUAUUUCCCUCAACUUUCUUGAGCCAUAACAAAAAUUUUAACACACCCAAUAAGUAUAAAGGUUGCUUACUUUAUAAAAUUUGAGUGAAAUCAAAACAAAAUCAUUACCAUAACAACGCUCUGAGAACCUCA
This 532-nucleotide long non-coding RNA is filed under the name Lathyrus oleraceus (garden pea). RNAcentral describes it as "Pisum sativum (pea) long non-coding RNA (PSAT_LNC025894)". Lineage: Eukaryota; Viridiplantae; Streptophyta; Magnoliopsida; Fabales; Fabaceae. The record is from RNAcentral.